RNAcentral lists this ribosomal RNA (75 nucleotides) under Neotrinia splendens. RNAcentral's name for it is "Achnatherum splendens 5.8S ribosomal RNA". It matches the Rfam family "5.8S ribosomal RNA", at positions 83 to 154 of the family's 154-position model. From Rfam's summary of the family: 5.8S ribosomal RNA (5.8S rRNA) is a component of the large subunit of the eukaryotic ribosome. It is transcribed by RNA polymerase I as part of the 45S precursor that also contains 18S and 28S rRNA. Functionally, it is thought that 5.8S rRNA may be involved in ribosome translocation. Lineage: Eukaryota; Viridiplantae; Streptophyta; Magnoliopsida; Poales; Poaceae. The record is from RNAcentral.
CGCGAACCAUCGAGUCUUUGAACGCAAGUUGCGCCCGAGGCCACCCGGUCGAGGGCACGCCUGCCUGGGCGUCAC